Molecule: transfer RNA, 68 nt
Filed under: Aphyosemion coeleste (sky-blue killifish)
Lineage: Eukaryota; Metazoa; Chordata; Actinopteri; Cyprinodontiformes; Nothobranchiidae
Description: tRNA-Glu
Rfam family: tRNA
About the family: Transfer RNA (tRNA) molecules are approximately 80 nucleotides in length.
Source: RNAcentral
GUUCUUGUAGUUGAAUACAACGGUGGUUUUUCAAAUCAUUAGUCUUGGUUAAAAUCCUAGUGAGAAUU